GGUCUCAUAGCUCAGCUGGUAUAGCGUGCGCUGCACAAAAGCGUAGGUGCCGUCCAUGCGUGGGUUCGAAUCCCAUCGAGACUU
RNAcentral lists this transfer RNA (84 nucleotides) under Echinostoma caproni. It matches the Rfam family "tRNA". From Rfam's summary of the family: Transfer RNA (tRNA) molecules are approximately 80 nucleotides in length. Their secondary structure includes four short double-helical elements and three loops (D, anti-codon, and T loops). Lineage: Eukaryota; Metazoa; Platyhelminthes; Trematoda; Plagiorchiida; Echinostomatidae. The record is from Rfam by way of RNAcentral.